This 305-nucleotide ribosomal RNA is filed under the name uncultured bacterium. RNAcentral's name for it is "bacterial SSU rRNA". It matches the Rfam family "Bacterial small subunit ribosomal RNA", at positions 334 to 657 of the family's 1533-position model. The record is from RNAcentral.
GAGUCCUACGGGACGCAGCAGUCGGGAAUAUUGCGCAAUGGAGGAAACUCUGACGCAGUGACGCCGCGUAUAGGAAGAAGGUUUUCGGAUUGUAAACUAUUGUCGUGAGGGAAGAAAUUGACAGUACCUCAGGAGGAAGCUCCGGCUAACUACGUGCCAGCAGCCGCGGUAAUACGUAGGGGGCAAGCGUUAUCCGGAAUUACUGGGUGUAAAGGGAGCGUAGGCGGGAGAGCAAGUCGACUGUGAAAUCUAUGGGCUUAACCCAUAGCUGCGAUCGAAACUGUUCAUCUUGAGUGAAGUAGAGG